RNAcentral lists this ribosomal RNA (504 nucleotides) under uncultured bacterium. RNAcentral describes it as "bacterial SSU rRNA". It matches the Rfam family "Bacterial small subunit ribosomal RNA", at positions 28 to 516 of the family's 1533-position model. The record is from RNAcentral.
GACGAACGCUGGCGGCGUGGAUUAGGCAUGCAAGUCGGACGGUAGGGCUUUAUCGUAAGAUAGAGUUUGAGAGUGGCGAACGGGUGAGUAACACGUAGGAAUCUACCCUUAAGACGGGGACAACCCAGGGAAACUUGGGCUAAUACCGGAUGAGAGUGCGAGAGAUUGCAUUUAAAAGGAUGGCGAAAGUUGUCGCUUAGGGAUGAGCCUGCGGUCUAUUAGUUAGUUGGUGAGGUAAGAGCUCACCAAGGCGAUGAUAGAUAGGCGGCCUUAACGGGUGGUCGCCCACACUGGGAUUGAGAUACGGCCCAGACUCCUACGGGAGGCAGCAGUCGAGAAUAGUCUACAAUGGCCGGAAGGCCUGAUAGUGCGAGCCGCGUGAACGAGGGAGCCCUUCGGGUGUAAAGUUCUUUUCUAUACGAGCAGUGCUAUAUAUAUGGAUAAGUAUAUAUAGAGGGAUAGUAGUAUAGGAAUAAGCAACGGCUAACUCCGUGCCUAGCAGCC